Non-coding RNA from Oryctolagus cuniculus (rabbit), 1675 nucleotides. The record is from RefSeq and is a predicted model, not a curated record. Lineage: Eukaryota; Metazoa; Chordata; Mammalia; Lagomorpha; Leporidae.
CUUCUGGCUCGCCUGCCUGCCCAGGGCGUUCACCUCGAGCUUCGCCUCAGCACACCCGCGAGCAUCGCGCUGCGCGAGCCCUCUGCACGCCCACGGAAGAAGCUGCGCACUGACCCAACGGUCAAAGUGAGCGCAACCCCAGGAGAACACUCUAAACGUGCCUUUGCUGUGUGUUCCUUGGCUGCUUCAAUGGAGUCGUCACUGGAGGAAGUUGUUCAUGGUCUUCUACAGCAGACUUACUGACAUCCUGACAUACCUCUGCUGCAGAGUGUUUUGAGGACAUGGACUUCUGGUGAGAGUGGCAGGCACUCCGGUGACCUAUUUGCUGGUGAAGCCUGUGUGAGUUAUUUUGCUCAAACAAAAUUUUAAUGCAUCUGGGAAACAAUCAGAAAAGCCAACAGCAAACUAAGAAGUAUCCGCUUUAGGAAAUCUAUGAACCAGAGGUUCUUUGUCUCGUAUCCAUGAAGAUUUAGGCAGACAGAUGAGGAAUUGUGACAAAUGUGAAAUGUCUGUUAAGCAAAAGAAAAAUCAAAAGUGAAAGAGAGGUGUCCAGAGCUAUGGCACAGUGGGUUAAGCCACUGCCUGCAGUGCCGCCAUCAUCCCAUAUGGGCGCCGGUUCAAGUUUCAGCUAUGCCACUUUCUAUCCAGUUCCUUGCUAAGGCGCCUGGAAAAGCAGCAGAAGAUGACUCAAGUGCUUGGGCCCUGCACCCAAGUGGCAGACCCAGAAGAAGCUCCUGUCUCCUGGCUUCAGUCUGGUCCAGCCCCAGCCGUUGCAGCCAUUUGGGGAGUGAACCAGUGAUGGACGAACUCUCUCACUGUCUCCCCCUCUGUCACCAUAACUAGGCCUUUCAAAUAAAUAAAAUAAAUUUUUAAAAAAACAAAGGUGAAAGAGAAAGCUCCAGGCAGUGCCUGGAGGGGUCCCAGAAGGAGUUGCCAGGUGGAUAAAUAUGCAAAUAAGGUGAAAAUCUACGAGUCAUUCCAGGAGUGAUUUCCAGAAUCAUCAUUUUUGCAUAGAAAUACCAAGGAGCUGCUCAGAUGUCAGAGCCAGAGUGCCGUGUUUUACCUAUGGAAGUUGAUAGAGUGCUCAGGCAGGUGCACUGUGGUGCAGACAUUUGGCUGAUGGUACCUUGUCUGGUGAUCCCAGUGAUUGCAUUAUUCUUCCUUGGAGCCCUUGUCCCUCUCUACGUGCUGGUAGAAUCUGUUUUCUGUCUCUAUUAAAAUUAAAACAAGGAGUCAGAUGAUUGUUUGUAUAUCUAUGCUCAUAGUAGCAUUAUUCACAAUAGCCAAAAUAGUAUCCAUUCACAAAUUAAUGGAUAAACAAAACAGAGUAAACACAUAGGUCUUAGUGUAUUUAUUGUUGGUAUAACAGAAUACCUAUGACCAAAACAUUUAUGGGAAAAACAGGUUUAUUUGGCCCAUGGCUGAGGAGGUGAUGAAGUCCAAGAGCUGCUCAGCUUCUGGCCAGGCCUCUUGCUGCUUCAGCUCAUGGCAGAAAGUGGACAGAAAGUGGGUGGGUGAGGCUGGCACUGUGACACAGUGUGUUAACACCCUGGCCUGGAGCACUGGCAUCCCAUAUGGGUGCCAAUUCAAGACCUGGCUGCUCCGCUUCCAAUCCAGCUAGCUGCUAUGGCUUGGGAAAGCAGUAGAAGAUGGCCCAAGUGCUUGGGCCCCUGAC